AUAAACGUCCCAGUUCGGAUUGUAGUCUGCAACCCGACUACAUGAAGCUGGAAUCGCUAGUAAUCGCGAAUCAGAAUGUCGCGGUGAAUACGUUCCCGGGUCUUGUACACACCGCCCGUCACACCAUGGGAGUCGGAAAUGCCCGAAGUCAGUGACCCAACCGUAAGGAGGGAGCUGCCGAAGGUGGAGCCGGUAACUGGGGUGAAGUCGUAACAAGGUACC
This 222-nucleotide ribosomal RNA is filed under the name uncultured bacterium. Its description in RNAcentral is "partial 16S ribosomal RNA". It matches the Rfam family "Bacterial small subunit ribosomal RNA", at positions 1279 to 1500 of the family's 1533-position model. The record is from RNAcentral.